GCCGUCAGGGGGGCGGCGGCGGCGGCGCUGAGGGAGCUGAGGGAGGAGCUGCAGCCCGAGGUGGCUCCGCUGGCGGCCGAGGCCCUCCCGAGGAUUUUGGGGGAAUUUUGGGGCUCCCGGAAUUCCGGGAAUUCCCCAAAUCCCGACCCCAGGUCCUGGUUCGUGCUGGAGACGCUGCUGGAGGCGCUGGGGGAGGGGGUUCAGCCCUGGCUGCCCCAGGUGAUUCCCAGGAUUUUGGGAGCUUUGGAGGCGUCGGAGCCGGAGCGGAGCCGGGAGCUGGCGCUGAGCGCGCUGCACGCGCUGGCCUGCAGCUCCGGCUCCCUGCACCUCCCCUCCCCCGCCCUGGCAGCCGUCACCGCCCUGGCCCGGGGGGGACCCCAGCAGUUACAGGCACUGGAGGUGCUGGCGGCGCUGGGCCCGGCCGUGGUGGGGGAGGGGCUGCUGGAGGCUCUGGAGCGGGGGCUGGGCCUGGCCCCGGGGGAUCCCGAGGCCACCAGGGUGAGGUGAGUGAGGCAAUUCCCCCAAAAUUCCCAAAAAUUCCCCCAAAAUUCCCAGAAUUCCCUGAAAUUCCCCAAAAUUCCCCAAAUUCCCAGAAUUCCCCAAAUUCCCAAAAAAAAUUCCCCAAAAAAAUUCCCAAAAAAAACCCCAAAAAUCCCAAAAAUUCCCCCAAAAUCCCCCCAAAUUCCCCCAAAUUCCCAGAAUUCCCCAGAAUUCCCCAGAAUUCCCAAAAUUCCCAAAAUUCCCCAAAAUUCCCCAGAAUUCCCAGAAUUCCCCAAAAAAAGCCCCAAAAAACUCCAAAAAUUCCGCCAAAAAUUCCCAAAAAUUCCCCAAAAUUCCCAAAAAUUCCCCAAAACUCCCCAAAGAAAUUCCCCAAAAAAAUUCCCCCCAAAAAUUCCCAAAAAUUCCCCAAGAAUUCCAAAAAAUUCCCACAAAAUAUUCCCAAAAACCCCCGAAAUUCCCCCCAAAAAACUCCAAAAAACCCCAAAAAUUCCCCCAAAAAUUCCCAAAAAAAUCCCUGAAAAUUCCCCCAAAAAAUCCCAAAAUUGAAAAAAAACCCCAAAAAUUCCCCAAAAAAAAUUCCCAAAAAAACCCCAAAAAACCCCAAAAAAUUCCCAGAAAAUUCCCCUAAAAAUCCCAAAAAACCCAAAAAAAUUUCCAGAAAAUUCACAAAAAAUCCAAAAAAUUCCCCCAAAAUUCCCCAAAAAAAUCCCUGAAAAUUCCCUCCAAAAAAUUCCCAAAACCCCCCGAAAUUCCCCCAAAAAACCCCCAAAAAUCCCAAAAAUUCCCUCGAAAAUUCCCAAAAAUUCCCCAGAAAAUUUCCCAAAAAAAUUCCCCCCCAAAAAUUCCCCCAAAAAUCCCCAAAAAU
Molecule: long non-coding RNA, 1366 nt
Filed under: Cyanistes caeruleus (blue tit)
Lineage: Eukaryota; Metazoa; Chordata; Aves; Passeriformes; Paridae
Description: lncRNA (ENSCCEG00000001971.1)
Source: RNAcentral